RNAcentral lists this long non-coding RNA (854 nucleotides) under Cebus imitator (Panamanian white-faced capuchin). RNAcentral describes it as "lncRNA (ENSCCAG00000038197.1)". Lineage: Eukaryota; Metazoa; Chordata; Mammalia; Primates; Cebidae. The record is from RNAcentral.
CUCUGAGAUUUCAGUAGUUUGGAGUCAAGUUUGAGGCAGUUGUAACCUUACCGAAUUUAGUUUUGCCAAGAAUGGUAUUCUACGUGUGUCAGCCCCGUAUGGACUUCUGUAAUGACUAAUGGAUAUGUUUAUAUCCCGCGCAUUCGUUGUAGGAAUUUUAAAUACAAUCCCAAAAGUCAAGAUUACCUGUAGAAAUAUCAGUAUUACUAUGUUUAAAAUUUAAUAGAACCAUAUUUUACUUUUCACUUUGGGACUCGCACAGGAUGUUUGCAGCUUUUGAUAUACAGGAUUGGUGUGAGCAGCUCUGCUUCAGGAUGUGGAGUUAUUUUCAGAUCUGCUCCACGGAUCAUUCUGGAGCUAGUGAACUACCCAGAGAAAGCUCUGCUUAUGAGGAAAUACAUGUGACAGUCAAGUCAAACCACACAGGUGCCUCUGCUCACAUUGCUUCUAUGCAUGUUAUUGGCCAAAGCACAUGAUAUGCCCAAGUCUACAUCAAAGGGGCCAGGCAACAAGAAAAAGUGGAGAAGGAGCAGUUUUUCCAUUUCCCUGAUCAGAAUUGAGUGAAGUUGACAGCAGGAUUGCAGAAGUGGAAAGACCAAGGUAAGGGAAGCAGGGUUGGGAAUUGCUGGUGUCUGUUUGUCAUUAGGAUUUGUUUUUCUUUCCCUCUGAGACCUAAAUGUCUUUUAAUUACAAGUCAGCUGAUUCUGUAACUGAAAAGCUGAGUAGCAGAUUACAUACAGCCUGCUGUUACUGUAAUGAGGAAUGAUUAGGAUCUAGAACAGUUUUCUCUCUUGCAUGGAAAAAAAAAGCACCAAUUAGUGUUAAUGAAUCAUUGCUUGAAUAAGGCAGCCAGG